UGUGGGAGCUGGCUUGCCAGCGAUAGCGGUGGUUCAGUCAAUUUAUAGUGACUGACAGGCCCUCAUCGCUGGCAAGCCAGCUCCCACA
RNAcentral lists this non-coding RNA (88 nucleotides) under Pseudomonas helmanticensis. The record is from RNAcentral. Lineage: Bacteria; Pseudomonadati; Pseudomonadota; Gammaproteobacteria; Pseudomonadales; Pseudomonadaceae.